Long non-coding RNA from Falco peregrinus (peregrine falcon), 1399 nucleotides. RefSeq lists it as uncharacterized. The transcript has 2 exons. NCBI's taxonomy places the organism in Eukaryota, Metazoa, Chordata, Aves, Falconiformes, Falconidae. The record is from RefSeq and is a predicted model, not a curated record.
CUGCAGGGGAUGUGCUAAAAGAAGAAGUGGCAAAGUCUAUGAAGAAGCUCACAGAGCACGCAACUUUGCAAAACACAUUGGUGAACUGUAAACUUUCACACACACACACACAAAAAGUGAAGCUGUGUAGACACUACGGUAUUUAUUUGCUUUCAUGCAGCUGGUGCCAGGUGCUGGCUUGCACGGCUGGACACUGGCAUGGUUUGUUUAAUCCCAGAACAGCCUCGGCUCGGUCUCCAGCUGCAGCUCCGUCCUCUGAGCUUCCACGGCCAGCCAGAGACACUCAGCAGGCUCCUGGAGGGCACUUCAGAAGGAGUACCGCUAGGUCCUACAGGCCUCUCAAUGGGCAUUAUUUGAUCAAAAAUGACAAAGUUUUGAUCGCUAACCCUCUCUUCAUCUCUUUUGAAGGUCGAAGAUGCAAGUAAAACCUUUGGUAUUGACCACUAAACCAAUGUGCCUUCCAGUAUCACAUGAUUCAGGCUGAUUCCCAAUCAGAGGUGUAUUUUCAGUUCAUUUUUGCCACGGACUUCUGCCAUCAGCUUUCACAGAUGGAAAGCUGUGCUUGUUUUUAUGUCAAGAGAUAUGAAAACCAAAUAGUGCCAGAACAAAUACUUCACUUCUCCAAGGAAACUAACAUAUAAACCACUUCUGCAUAUCACAGUCUGCAAAGUGCAGAGCACACACCAAGCACAAACAAACCCUGGCCCUGCACACUACUUGGACAAAAGCCCUGCCGAAUUCACCCUGGAAUUACUGCCUCUGAAGGGAAUUUUGUAAGAGCAAGGCUGGCUCCAAUACAAGAAACAAGCACCUGCAGUCCUACCUGUAUACCAGUGUCAAUCCCACAGGCUCAGGUACUUGCUCUUCCAUUGGCUUUUGCAGGUGCCACCAUCCCAGCGGUCCAGGUUUCCUCAGUGCAAUGAGAAAGACAAGAUGAAAUAGCAGGGGCCAUGACAGAGCUUAGCUUUAAUGGUUCUAGAAGAGGGGACUGAUGUUCAGCAGACAUUCAGCUGACUACAAACCCCGAAGAGGUGAGGAAAAGAUGAUGUGCUGUGGGAAAGAUCACAUUGUGCCACGCAUGGAAGAGAUACAGCAACAAGAUACUAAUCGUAUAACGAGAAAAGGAACAAAAUGAAGACAAGGAGAAGGCUAAACCUAACAGUUUUUACAUUAUGGACUUUUCUAACUAAAGGAAGGAAAAGUCAGGGAAGUUAUGCAAACAAGAAUGAUGGAGCUGGGAAAGGAGUUUGGAGUAAUGUGCAGAGAACGGAAUAGGUAUCAAAAUAUAAAAUUGUAAGUACUUCUUUGUUCUACAUAUGAUACAACAGUAACAAUUCCUAUGUAAAUGAAAAAACCCAAGAGCAUUCCAAUAAAUACAUAGGCAUACUAUCUUAAAUCA